UACUCUACAGAUAGAGGAAAACUGGAGGGAAGAGUCACAAAUAAGAUGGUUGUAUACCUCACUAGAAGCUGACGAACUGCAGCAAGUAAAAAUGUGCAUUGAUAUUGGCCUACACUGCGUCCAGUCAAAGCCUGAAAAGAGACCUACCGCUAGGGACAUCAUGCUCUGGCUUGAUAAAGGGGUCAAUCCAGUCCCAGCCCCAAGAGCAGGUGGAGGAGUGUCAAGACCUACAGUCUCAGUUCCAAGUGCAGGUCCAGGAGGGGUGCCAAGACCUCCUGUCCCCACUAAUAUCACCCAUGCAGAUGACCGCAUCCAAGGUUUUCCCAUUCUGGAGCCCUCUAGUGUUAAUGAAUAUUUGUUGAUGAAAACUGCAUUUGUGAAAACAAUUAAAAUACAAAAUCUUCAUCUUUUUUCAAAAACAAAUUCGAUAAAGAUCUUUUUUCAAUGAAGGGCAUACUUUAUUGACCCAAAAUGUAGCAUCAAGAGGAUUCAAACAAUCCAAAUGUCUUCAUCUACUUCUGUUCAUCCAAAUCGACCGGUAAAGCAUUUCACACAAAGUUAUAAGACCAAGGGCUUCCUCCUUUUCAAAUAAAACACUCAUCUAUCCGGCAGAAAAAAAAAACACUCAUCUUCGUCCAUGGAUACUCGUGUUGAAGACUCCCUGCGAUCUUGUUUCUUUUUUUGGGGAAAAGGAGGAUAACCCCCGGCCUUUGCAUCAGAACGAUGCAUGCGGUCUUGUUUCUGUGUCUUUUUUCAAGUGUGCAUCUACUGUUGUGACUAAAUAUAUGCCUUUGACUCAUUGGUCAAUCAAAGGUCAGCAAGGCUACCGAUGUUUACACAAUCUUAAGUAUUUACAUGAAAUUGAUUACAGUUUUAAUCCAGCGAAGCAAAUAUAUAUCCCCAGCUGGAUCAAACUUGUCUAAUGCUUUUGUACAUUUAUUAUAUGUUAUACCAGGAAACGAGAAGCCGGCGGGAUUCAUAAAACGAAUCUUCGGAAGAAAGUAGCCACCUGAGGGAGGAGGAGAAUUCUUUGAAGUGGACAGGAUUUAAGAAACGAUUCAUUCCCGGCGGUGAAAAUUAUAUGAUGGUUCAACAAAGCUCGUGGUUGGUACUGUUGGAACGUGGCAUCUGCAGCUGCCUGACUGAGUUGAUCAUGAGGAGGGGGAGCGCUCACUGCAUGGAAUGGGAUCAUGUUCUGUCAGCCAACGCGAGUCACACAGUGACACAAGUAGCAUUUAGUUGUGUAACCUGACCCCAUGAGUGGGAAAGUUACACAAAUCUUCUGGUACCGCAAGCGAUGCGCCACAUCUGUGGAAGGGGCCGGAGGUAGUUUUACUGCAUAUUGGAUCCUUUCUGUAUUCUUAUCUUUCUAUGUUUCGCAUUCAUGUGAUCUAUACGAAGCAAAGUGUGUGGGUUGCAUCAUUUAGACAGUCCAAGUACUGUAGUCAGUUGCAGAGAGUUCGGUCCAUUUCUGAACUUGGGUCGGAGCUAUGCUGUCAUGAAAAUGUGAGAUGAUUUUCAGGACGCACCCGAGCCAUCAUUUAUUAAAACAAACUAAAACGAUAUGAUGUAACUGAUGCAAGUUGUACUGAACCAAUGGUGCUUGCAAUAUUCGGAAGUUUGAUGACUAAUCGGCAAGUUAAGCAUGCAAGCACAUUGAUGAGGAGCGAACCUCAAGACGAGGGACGAUCCGUUGUUGACCCGAUCUUUCACGGCACAAACCUUCAUCGCAGCAAGAACAAGUCGCGGGUUUACGAAGAUGUUCGCAAAUCCCACGGAAACAACACGCCAACCCCUCAAUCCGAAGGAAUAACGUGGACGAACUGUAUAGGCUCAGCUUGUAAUCCCCUACGCGCCGCGUUGCAUGAACUUACACGCCAGUAGAGAUUUUGAUAAGAAUUCUCUAAACUCGAUAAUGGCCAGCGGCCUAAACACACGUGGUGUCUAAUUCCAUCAUAAAAUAACCUACCCUUUCAUGACACAUUGACUUGGCCUUAUAUUGUGGCCGUACACCCUAAUCUACCUUGGAAAACAAGCAACGUAUUGUGGCUAGCUAGAUGGGAAAAAAACUAAUCUGAACUCUAUCUAAUAAAUAUUGCCUUUUACAUCUCGGCGAACUUCUAAUUCCAUAAUUAACAAACUAACAAAACCUUGUCUCCAGAUGAUUUUGUACGCAUAUAUUGCCGGUGGCCCCAUCCAAUCUCCUGCAAGGUCACGAAAUCCCAACUUUCCGAAGUACACCGAAUGUAUAUUUCCUUGUCAUCCGGUGGUCUCGUACGUGCAAAGUAGUAGCCGGAUAGGCGCCCUGCUAUAGCCUGAGAAUUGAACAUCUUGCCUUUUUUAAACGAAGAAAACGACCAGAUUAUCUCUUGAAAAGGGUUAGCACGUGGAUUCUCCCAGGGUAUAUACUUUGCAUGUGUCUCCCCUGUGUAUGCCCAUCUGGUUCACUAAAAACAAAGUCUUGCAUAUCAUGCAUGAAGGGCUGGAUGCACAUGCAUGCAAGUACACACGCAUGCAUGUUACUCCCUCCGUUUCGAAAUAUAAGUCUUUUUAGAUAUUUCAAAUGGACUAUAACAUACGGAUGUAUGCAGACAUAUUUAGAGUGUAGAUUCAUUCAUUUUGCUCUGUAUGUAGUCACUUGUUGGAGUCUUUAAAAAGACUUAUAUUUAGGAACGGAGGGAGUAAUAAUUUCCAACCAUGCUCGUGGUUUCUUCUCGUAAUUCUCAUGUGAUGAACCAUCCACAAAACCAGCAUGCAUGUACGUUAUAGCAACUAAUGCUUCAACUUCCUCUUCAUGCUUCUGAUUAAAAACUAUAUAAUUUGGCACAUGGUCACCUUCAACUUUCAACCUUGAUGUACCUAAUAAAUCAAUACAAACAGUAUCCGUGCUAGUGGUAGCCAUGGCCAUAUCACACAUUGAACAUUCACCCAAAACAGAGUUGUGAUCACAACACGGCGGUUACAACUUCACACAGGCUGAUUACAAGUUUACAACUCAAUGCAGAGAAUUCUACUCAUCACUUCUUAAGACGCAAACGAUGUGCUUCUGCUGCGUGUUUUUUCCUGUUUCCAGCGUGGCUUAUCCCAAGCCAGCGUUACAGAUUACAUGGACGCUGCCUGUAUUGCCAGUGGCACCGGCAGAUAGGAGCAGAUGUUCACAAAGUCACACACACACACACACACACACAAUUGAAGGACACAUUCAAGUAUUAGAUUAUUUUUCUGUGGGAUCCAAUAUCGGGAAUUUUGAUCGGCAUAAUGCAGAGAAAUUGUUGGCCAAUCGUUAUCACCGGUACUACUACAAUGACAUCAUGACGCACGCAGAACCCGACGGACAACUGCUUCCCUUAAUCGAGAGUGGGACACUUGCAAACUCGCAACUUUACCCCUAGACCCACCAAAUUAUGACGCUUACAAACACACGGGAUUCAGAAACUUUUACUGAAGCAAAAUGCUCUGAUUUUGCAUAUUUUGAAGCCGAUGCACAUUUACCGUCCUAGCAAUCCCAUGCUCAGAUUGCGUAUACUGAAGCAAACAAGCUGUCGGGUGAGGAGGCAGCGAGAAGCUCCAUAAAACACAAAAAUAGAAUCGCCCAAACGAGCAGAACACGCUGCUGGCAACAGUUUGGUUGGAUAAUGGUGAGGUGAUCGGCAGCAGGAACUUGCAGUGGCCAUGGAAAAAACUAAGAGAGAAAAAGAAGAAGAAAAGUCAGUUAGUUCAUACGGUGUUACAGCCUGGUAAGGAUAAGGUCAGCAGGAUGAUAAGGCACAUGUGGUGGUGGAGAAGUGGGCACUUGUUGCUUGGCUACGUACACACCUAGACGUACAUGAGAAAGAACAUCUCAAAAAUAAUCAAACAAACAUGUGAUGUAUUAAAUCCUGUUUCCUCAAGUGGGACAGAGGAUUUGACCACAUUGUUUGGAUUUCUUGUGAUAAUUCAAGUCUUUUUUCUAUUAGCCAUGUUCAAGAAUUCGCAUGAUAAUUAACCAGUUAACUUGCGAUUAAUCCUUAUCCGUAGGGUCACCAAGUAGUCAAUAAACUGAGCAGCCUAUUAAUUCCCUACUCACCAGCCAACCGAGCAGCCAGUGGCGUACCAACGGGUGUGCCAGGUGUUGAAAAACAUUUUUUCACCAUGUAAAAAUUAGCUGAUUUUUAAGGCCCAUGCAAGGUAAUUGAAAUAGACUUCAUUUCUUUUAAAUGUGCACACCGUUCAUUUUAUUUCUAGAUUCGCCAUUGCGAGCAGCUACCAAGUUAACGAUUUCCUUAACAAUGAUGAUUAGUAUAUGUGUUACUAAAGAGCCACAAAGUUGAGAUGACUGUGCUGUGUGUGAAAAAAAAUAUGAAUCGGGUAAAUUCGUGGCAUGAAAAAGCCGCAAUAUUAAAAUGCAAGAUUGAUCCUAAAACCAAUUAAGUGAAUGGUUGUCUCAAUACAACCUUAAAUAUAUUAAAACAAGUUUCAUUAUUAAAAUAUAUAUUAAAAAGUUCCCUUUCUUCCUCAAAUUUGAGCAGGCACCUGUGCUUCUUCAAAGAUUAUUUCGCCUCUUCUCGCCCAUGGCGGCUCCUCUUCCCACAGACGUUGUCGCAGCCCCGUUCACCCCCUCAGUCAUGCACAUGCACCCCGUUGAUGUCUGGCCGCCGAGUACAUAAAUUCAUAAAUAAAUUCAAUGAGACGGAUCCGAUGAUCUCCUCAAGAGCGUGCUUUUAAAAUGCAGGCUGCCGCGAACCAAUCUGUGAUUGGAUAGUUAGAAGGUCUGCGGUAACCCCAUCCAACCAGAUUCAUCCAGUCCCAAACUUAAUAUUGAUGCUCACAUUUUUCUAGAUUUAUUUCAGGCUUUCGUCAAUCUCAACAUGCUAUGUCGGCUCAGACUCUCGGAGGUAUUUAUAAGGUAGGGUAUACGUGUAUGUAUUCACAGAGGUGUGAGUGCUCGGUUAUGUGAGCGACUUCGACUGUGUUGUGUUAAAAAAAUGCAAGCUGCCUCUGUCCCCGCCGUUUUUUUAAUUAUUAAUCUGGCAUGUGUAUGGUAAUUCAACAAGUUGAUCGGGUCUUAGGAAAUGCAAGGUCCCUCGGUCACCAGGCCGACCGGUCAUUUUUUUUCAGACAAAGGGCCGACCGAUCAUUUAUUAGUACUCUGCUUAUCGGGCCAUUGGCACAGCUCUAGAGCUCCGGAUCUGGAUCGACUUAUUAUUCUCCCCCCGGUCAACGCCUUUGCCUGCUGAGCCAGGGAAUGAUUGAUCCGCUCAUGAUCUACAAGACGAGAAGCAAGCCCAGUUUUGCUCCUAGCUAGCUGCUUUCUCCUCCUCCUCCAAUCUCCAGGUGAGUAAUUAAGAUGCAACUAGGUAGCUGCUUUCUGGUAAGACUUAUCUUCUGCUUGAUUUGCUUUGUGCAGCAACGAAUGAAGGAGAAGCUGGCAACCAUAUUCAUAUCCAUAAUCCAUAUCUAUAUGCGAGCUAUUGCUUGCUAGAAAGCUUCUUGCUCGCAUACUCGGAAAUGGGCGGAUACGAGUUCCAGAGGGCGGAGCUAGAUGCACUGGAAGGCGUCGUACGCGAUCCAACUGCGGAGCCAAUGAGUCUGACGUUGCCGCUUCUCAGGCACAUAACAAAUGAUUUCUCCCCUGAAUUUGAAAUUAGUAAAGAUGAUUCUGCAGUGGUUUACCUGGUACGACUAAACUCAUAUCUCGUUUAUUAUUAAUAUAAGCAAAUCCUAUCUCGUUAAUUAGUACUCUGCUUAUGUGGUCGAAUAUAUAUGUAGGGGGUGCUUCCAAGUGGGUUCCGUGUUGCUGUCAAGAAGCUUCACAAUCGUCAUUGGUUAGAAGAUGAAGAUGCAUUUAUAAAUGAAGUUUCUAUCGCAAUGAAGGCUGCUAAGAAGAACACAGUGCGAGUUAUAGGCUACUGUCAGCACACGCAAGAGCAAAUUGCCGAAUACGAAGGAAAACAAGUUUUCGCCGAGCUAACAGAAAGGUUGAUCUGUACCGAGUAUGUGCCUAACGGACCCCUUAGUGGACAUAUCGAAGGUAAGAUAUGUGCGCAAAUGGAUGGAUACGAGUUCCAGAGGGCAGAACUAGAUGCACUAGAACGCGUCGUACGCGAUACAAGUGCGGAGCCAAUGAGUCUGACGUUGCCGCUUCUCAGGCACAUAACAAAUGAUUUCUCCGAUGAAUCUCGAAUUGGCCGAGGUGGAUUCGCAGUGGUUUACCUGGUAUGAUUAAACUCAUACAGUAUCUCCUUAGAUAUUAAGCAAUUCCUAUCUUGUCAAUUACUAACUUCUUAUUGUGGUCAAAUAUACAGGGGGUGCUUCCAAGUGGGUUACGUAUUGCUGUUAAGAGGCUUAGCAAUAUUGCUUAUAUGAAUGAAAGUGCAUUUCAAAAUGAAGUGUUUAUCACAAUGAAGGCCACUCACAAGAACACAGUGCGAUUCAUGGGCUACUGUAGUCAAAUACAAGGUAAACUCAUCGAACACAACGGGCAACAUGUUUUCGCACAGCUCGAGGAAAGGUUGAUCUGUGUGGAAUAUGCGCCUAAAGGAACCCUUGAUGCACAUAUCGGUAAGAUCGAUAACACGGCAUGCCCGCCCUAGCAAUAAUUCCCUCUCUUUAUUUUGGUGUUUCUGUUUGUGUGGCUGUUUUUUACUUUGUGCUCACAGAACAAAGAAUGAAUACCAGUGGAACAAAAAAGUAGACUAUAAUUUUAGCGCAACUGAAACCAACAUGACCAGUCGUAGAACACAAAUUUAGACAAAGUGGACCAAAUCAUAAGAAAUAUUAGAACAUUAAUUUUUUUAGAACAUAAGGCACAAAAUUAUAGUGCUCGUGAAUCAAAACUUGGCUACAAGUGGAACAAAUAUUGUAACAAAUACAAGAAAACUAUUAGAGGCUUGUGCAACAAAAUUUCGGUGCCCAUGGAACAAAUCAAAAUUCUAGUGGAACAAAAGUUUUAACUAACUAGAAUGAGCAAAGUAUAUCACUUGCAGGAAAAAAUUGAAACUACUACUGCUGCCACUUCACCACUUCUUGUGCUGACUUUGCCAUCCUCACCUGGUACCAAUUUCCUUCAGUUUUCGUGUGUGCCAAUGAAUUCAGAUUUCCAAACAAGUGGAGGUUUUUUCUUCCUUCCCCAAUAUCCCUCGUUCUACCCAACUAUCUAUAAUGGGGCAGAGAAGGAUAAGCAAAGUAGGCGGUAGAACAAAAAAUUAAUGUAAUUGGGACAAAAUUUAAUCAGUAAAUGCUCACUAGUCUGAGGAUAAACGAAAGCAUGAAACAAGGAAAAGACGAGGGUGAGCAACUAUUGGAAUAAAAGAAAAAUUAAACUAGCAGAGCAAAGUAAAGUUGCAACCAAAUCAUCAGCGAGCACCACAUCAGCGCGCUAGUCUCCCCUCCCGGCGGUAACCGCUAUUGGUGGCUCACCGGCGUCUAAGGCCCCUAGGCGGAUGAAGACUAGAUGGCUUUCCUUGCCGAUCUACAUGACGUCUGGCCCUUGGCUUAUUGGUGCCGAUUUCAACAUGAUCGUCUCUGAGGCGGACAAGAAUAACCCGCACGUGAACCGGCGGAUCAUGCAUCGCUUUCGAUGCUUCCUUGUCGACGAGGAACUUCAUGACAUUUGUAUGCAUGGUAGGCGCUACAUGGUCCAGCGAGCGCAAGAUUCCUACUCUUGUCAAGAACAACCGCAUCGUCUCCUCCUCCUCGAAGGAUGCACAUCCCCACUGCCUGUUGUAGUGCCUCUAUUCAGCUGCUUCAGAGCACUGGCCGCUCCUUCUUGAUUGUGUCCCGUGUACCCAUGGGAUCAAGCGGUUCCACUUCGAGUGAUUUUGGCAGAAGCUUGAUGAUUUCCAACUAGUCGCCUCUGAGGCUUGGAACUCCAUUGAGCAUGCCCCUGAUGCAUUUCGCCAUAUCGUCGUGUGCCUUAAGUCUACCACACGUCGUCUCCAGAGCUGGAGUGCCAAGUCUAUUGGCCAAAUCUCGGUGCAGCUUCAGAUCGCGUGUGAGCUCAUUGCUCAUUUGGACGCCGCUCAGCACUUUCUGCCGCUCUCGACCUCGGAGGCCUGGUUGCGACAUAGGCUGAAGGCCGCCUACCUUGGCCUUGCCUCGCUCGAGUGUUCCAUCAUUCGGCAGCGCACGAGGUUUGCCUGUCUCAGGGAGGCUGAUGCCGGCCCUACCUUCUUCAACAUGCAUGCAUGCCUCGUACCAUAAGCAGAAAAACCACAUCUUCGAGCUCAAGGUGGGUGAUAGAGUUGUCUCCACGCCGGAGGCGUUUGCCACUGCGGGAUUUUGAUCACUUCACCGGUGCCCUUGAGACCUCCGAGGACCGCGACUUCUCCAUCUCCCUUCGGGAUCUGCAUGCUGGUGCUUUCGAUAUCAAGGCCCUUGAUGAGCCAUUUUUUUAGGCCGAAAUUUGGCGCGUUGUCAAGGCUCUACCCUCCAGUAAGGCGCCGGGGCCAUCCCUCAAUGCGUGAGGCUUUCAAAAACUCAACGAGGCAUACAUUACCCUGCUCCCCAAACGUCGUGCCGACGCAACCACACUCUUCUACUUUUGGUCCAUUAGCCUCAUCCAUCUGAUGGCGAAGUUGUUCGCCAAGGCGCUCUCUCUCUCUCUCUCUCUCUCUCUCUCUCUCUCUCUCUCUCUCUCUCUCUCUCUCUCUCUCUGCAAACGGCGUGUGUUCUGCACAAUCUCAAGGUUCCUCGGGUGAUGCUGAAGCUUGACAUCGUUAGGGCCUUCGACUCGGUGUCUUAGCCCUUUCUUCUGGCCCGAAUGUCCCUCUCGUCCGCAGAAAGGGCGUGUGAUUCUUGGGCAAUGUCAAGGCGAAGGAUAACGAGAAGGGCUGCAUGAAGAUGCAACUUUGCCUUGGAGAAGAGGCCCUUACUCCAUCUCGCCAAGUGCCACCCCGUUUUCCUGAGCUUAUGGAAAAGCCGCUGGCAAGGCUCCGUGUGCUCGCAUGGCUCAUCCCAAGCCUUUGACACGAUGUCAAAGAAGCCGGGGAGACAGGACAGAAAAUUCUCAAAUUUGAAACAUCUUGGUCGCUUGGGCCCCUUGUCAUCAACGAGGAGGAGAGGGCAGUGAUCCGAAAGUGAAUAGGAGAUGGAGUGGAGCACAUGGGAGUUAAAAUGCAUGUCCCAAUCGGCAUUUCGGAACAUCGAGUCAAGCUUGCAAAGAGUUGGGUUUUGACGCUCGUUGCUCCAAGUGAAUCGUAUGUUUUGCAUUACCAUGCCUUCUAUUUUUAUCUCAAGCACGAUAGAUUUGGUUGAAGUCGCCCAUGACAAUCCAUUUAGUGCCAUUGUUGGGUUUUUGUGAGAUUAGCUCGUUAAAGAAGUCACCCUUUCUGUCGGAGGCCGUGGGAACAUAGACACUAGUGAUCAUGAAGUAGGUAUCGGUGUGAAUCACAUUGACCAUUGCCGAGAGGCAGAACUCAGUAAAGUUGACGUCUGAAAUACGGAUGACACUAUCGUCCCAAAGCAUGAGUAGGCCCCCUUUGGUUCCAAUAGCCGGACGCUGACAAAACUCGAAAGCCUAUUGCCGCCGAGGUAGGAGGCGAUGAAUCGGUCCACUGAUUCCAUCUUGGACUCCUGAAAGCAAACAAUGUGGCAAGAGGAGGAGGCAAUCGUCUCAUGAACCGUCGCCCGUCUACCUGGGUUGCCAAAUUUUGAUAAUUGGUUUGAUGCCAAAAAUUGGCAUGCCAAAUUUUGGCAACUGCCAAAUAUUGGCUAGAGAUUGAUUGCUUGCCAAUUUUCAUUGCCAAUCUCAGAAAAAGUUGUCAAAUGUUGGCAACUUCUGAUUUUGCCAAAUGUGGGUUUGCCAAAUAUUGGCAAUGCCAGAUGUUGGUAGCAAACCAAUUAUGCUCUAGUUUCCUGAUGAUAGAACAAAACAUAAUUUUUUUGAGUUGAAAUCUGCAAGGAUUAAGAGCAUAAUUGGUUUGCUACCAACAUCUGGCAUUGCCAAUAUUUGGCAAACCCACAUUUGGCAAAAUCAGAAGUUGCCAACAUUUGGCAACUUUUUGUGAGAUUGACAAUAAAAAUUGGCAAGCAACCAAUCUCUAGUUAAUAUUUGGCACUUGCCAAAAUUUGGCAUGCCAACUUUUAGCAUCAAACCAAUUAUGCUCUUGACCCUUGCAGAUUUCAACUCAAAAAAAUUGUUUUGUUCUAUCAUCAGGAAACUAGGGGUCUCGUGGCACUCACAAUUAGAGCCCGUCGGGGUUGCAUGAAGUGUGCUUGCUGAACCAGCUCUUUGCACAACAAAGAGAGAAAUAAUCUGGAAGCUGCGUGGAGUUUGAGGUCAGGGUGGCUGCUGUCUAGAGUAGAGGUUGCAACUUGCAAGCGAUCUUUGCACAACCAUGAUCUUCAUUAAGCACUGGCGACGAUGAACACCCAAGUUACAACCAACAGGAACGUUACAGCAACUAGUUCCUCUUGGUUAAGGGAUAACAGAGAGCUUUGCUAACAUCAGGGCAACUAGUGCUUUGGCUCUGUGAAGUGGGGAGAAACAAUGGAGGCACUUGCCCACCAAUUGAGGGGGGAUUUGAGGCCGCCUGUGAGGAGCUGGAGGGGGGGUUUGGCAGGCCAGGGGAGGGGAGGGGAGGUUGUCGCUGCGUCCAGCCAGGCUCCAGGGGGCAUCCUGUACUUCCUCUGCAAGGCGAUGCGCGGGGGCGGCGUUUGCAGCGGAAGACCCGGGGCGGGGUUGCCGCCCGGGCAUUGAUGGCGGCCUCCUCUUGAAUGCGUUGCAGAGACGCGUCGGGGGCGACGAUGAUGGAAGCGACGCGCACGCCUCCCCCUCGAAGGACAGGCGGCGUCUCCAGAACCUCGUCAGCAAGCUCAGCUGCCUGGAUCCGGAGACGUGCAGCGGCCGAUCCAGACCGGGCACCAGUGGCACGACAGUGGACACAGGGAUAACAACCGGGAAAAAAAAAAUCUCCGGCAAGCGGGGCGGCGGCGGUGGCAGCUCAUGUUGUCCGGCGAGCCCCGAAUGGCACGCGCCGGGUGGGGCUGGUGGGUGGGUGGGUCGCCCACUCAUCUUGUCCGGUGAUUUUUCCAGCUGUGCCAGCUAAGUUUUUCAAGUGCAGUGUUUGCGAUUUAGGAAUUUUGAGAGGAUACAUGCUUCGCUGUUUUAUCUAUUUCUAUCUAUCUCAUGUAAGCCUUUCGGGAUGACAAGCAGAUCAACUUCAUGACAUUAUCAAUACUUCUGCAGGUGACUAUGGUGAACUUGACUGGAACCAGCGUUAUCAAAUUCUAAAAGGAAUUUGUCAGGGUUUGCAUCAUCUCCAUGACGAAAUGCACGUUUUUCAUGGAGAUAUCAAACCAGCCAAUAUAUUAAUAGGGGAUAACCUUGUGCCUAAAAUCUAUGACUUCGGUCUCUCCCAGAUGUUUGAAGAAGAAGAAACGGAACGUAUUGUUAAAAAUAUGGCCGGAACAUUGUAAGCUAACCCGUUCCUCUUGGUUAUUUUGUUUUGUUUCUGCUGACACAGGUACUUCGAUAACCAAAAUGCAUUAGAGUUAGUCGGCCGAUUGCCUCACAUCUAACAUAUGUGCAGGUGUUAUCUUGCACCGGAGGUACUUAACACUCAUAUGAUGUCAUUUAAGGCUGAGAUAUACAGUUUGGGCGUUGUGAUCGAGGAGUUAUUGACCGGGAAGAAAGGAUGGAUUGAUGAGGAUGUGAGAAAACUAUUUAAACCACAUUUGGAUCAAAGUGUUGCCAUUGAUAUAUUUGUAUUCUAUCGAGUCUAACUCCUCAAAACAGAGAAUGUAUCUGAGCCAUUCUGACACGCAUAUUGGUUUAAAUUUGUACAGCAACUUAAGGGUUUGAGAAAAACAUUGGUAAAAGAAGGAGCGUUUUCAUCAUGGGAAAACAAAUACCACCAAGUUAGAACAUGUAUGGAGAUUGGGCAGGACUGCAUAGACCCCAACCCACAUAAAAGGCCCACUUUGUUUGAGAUUAUCCAGCGGCUUAAUGAAGCGGAAGAUAUGAACUAUUCUGCAGCAUCACUUUGGCAGGUAUGGAAAAUCGAAAGCAUAAGAAAACAACUGUUCUUUAUCUACCAUUUCACUUUAGCUAACGUACUGUUUGAGAAGAAUCAGUCUUAGCCAAGCUUACAUCCUCACAGACACAGUACAGAAGUACAUUUCUUUUCUUUAGCCAUUACGAUUAACAUAAAGAGUUCACAAAGCCAUCUCCAACGAAAGAUAUGUGCUAAUUAAACUAAAUUGGAAGAGAAAAUACAUAACAAAGCGAAGACACCAUGUAAAUUAGAGAAGAAACAAACUCUUGGUACUCCUUCAGCGAGGGAAGACACCUUGUCAACUUAGCAGAAACAAACUCUUGGUACUCCUUCAGCGAGGGAAGACACCUUGUCAACUUAGCAGAAACCUUACGACUCUAGUCCUACAUGACAUGUCUAAGAGAAUAUUGAUAUCACGCAUUGCAUAAUGCUUACAUGGUAAGUUAUAUAUAAGUGCAGUCAGGAGACGAGGAAUCCGAUUUAUCGGAUACAGAAGCUUUGGAGACAGAGACAACAUCCGAGUUUCUUCCAAGUGACGAGGAACCCGCCUCUGUGGGCAAGACCGGAGAAACAAGCACACAGGAGCCUGAUAAACCGGACCUAGUAAGUAAGUUGCCAGCAUCGGUGGACCUGUCUGACCUAAAAGUCCUGGAGAAAAUCACAGAUGAUUUUUCACACGAAAGAAUAGUUGGGAAGGACGGUACAUUCAAAGGUUGUCAUAAGGCAUUUGUUUAUAAGGUACACAUAGUUGUAAGUUACUAUGCAGUGCUUUGCUUUGCUGAUGUCCUUUGAGUUCAACAUAUUCUUCCAUCUUAAUUAUACUCCUAACACACACACGCAUACUAAAUGUACAUUUAUUUGAACAGGGUGACAUUCCACGUAGAGAAAUGAUAGCCGUGAAGAGGUUAAUUGGAGUGGAGAUUCCAGUUGAAAAGUUUAAGAGGGAAGCAGAACAGUUCAUUCGUCUCGAUCAUAAGAAUAUAGUAAAGGUUGCCAGCUACUGCCACGACCAGUCUACAGGACAUAGACUGGUACAGUUCAAAGGAAAACCGCUACCACAACUCUUUAACGGUCCCGAACAACUGCUCUGCUAUGAAUAUAUGCACAACGGAAGCCUUCGCGACUAUCUUAUGGGUAAUGAUACCGAUCACUAAUCAACUACUGUUUUCUUUAACAUCCGUAAACAAUUACUGUUUUCUUUAACAUCUGUAAUCAACUACUGACAAUUGUUUUCGAUGGAAGAGAGCUGCACGUCCAGUACAAAUCAUAUAUAUGGAUGCAAAUAUUAGGAACUGCUUGCAAAAAUAGAAGGAAAAUCGAACGAUUUAAAGUUCAAAAAGCUAGCUCCUUGCUCAUUGAUCUCUCCAUGUCUACUUGUUGUUUUACUAGGUCAAGGAUCUCGUGAAAUUGAUUGGCAAAUGCGUUACAAAUUGAUCAAAGGGACUUGCGCAGGCUUAGAUUACCUUCACAAGGGCCGUGCAGGUUGUCCAAUUGUUCAUUUGAAUUUAAGCCCGUCAAAUGUAUUGCUGGACCACAACUACAUACCACGCAUCACAGGGUUCGAUUUUUCGAAGCUCAUUGGUGAAAAGAACACCAAAUCCGUGGUACUUAAGCUGAAUGGACCCAUGUAUGUAUGCUCUCAGUGCUACUGCUUUAAAAUUAGCUCCUGAAUUUGCUCAUGAUACAUGUCUAUGUUUUAUUUUUUUGGAAAAAUGUCUUAUGUUUUGUGGCUGCUCGGUUUAGCUAGUCUUUUUCUGUGAGAAACGUUUAGCUACUCUAUUGAUCGUAAUAUGCUUUAAUUAAACUGAUGUGUUCAUAUAUUUUUGCAGAGCGUACCUGCCACCGGAUUUCUUCCAUUCAAAGGGUACUGAUCUUAAAUAUCUUGCUACGGUAGAUAUAUACAGCUUGGGUCUUAUGAUUUUAGAAAUCGCAACACAACAAGAGAUCAAAGGCAUCCAUGGAGUGCUUAUUAAGAGUGUAAGACAAAUUUAUUAACCCUCUGAUCAUGAGAUAGCUUUUAUUGAAAGAACAAAAUUUCAACUUUUUAUAAAUAAAUAAUUAUUCGCCUUUAAAACUUUGAUGAUCUAAUAUACUCUACAGAUAGAGGAAAACUGGAGGGAAGAGUCACAAAUAACACGGCUGUAUACCUCACUAGGGGCCGACGAGCUGCGGCAAGUAAAAAUGUGCAUUGAUAUUGGCCUAGACUGUGUCAAGUCAAACCCUGAAAAGAGACCUACAGCUGGGGCCAUCAUGCUCUGGCUUGACAAAGAGAGCAAACCGGUCCCAGUUUCAAGGGCAGGUGCAGGAGUGCUGCCAAGACCUCCGGUCCCU
RNAcentral lists this long non-coding RNA (14306 nucleotides) under Triticum aestivum (bread wheat). RNAcentral's name for it is "long non-coding RNA (TAES_LNC013698)". The record is from RNAcentral. Lineage: Eukaryota; Viridiplantae; Streptophyta; Magnoliopsida; Poales; Poaceae.